UUAGUUGAUCACUUGAAAAAUAAUUUUGGUGCUCAUUAUAGUAGAGUGGGAAGUUUAUAUAGUCUUGUUCCUGCAGUUGACAAAGAAGGCGAUUAUUGUCUAUCCCAAUAGCGGGGAAAUAUGGGAUGGAAUUGCAAAAAAAUGGCUAGUAAGUUGGGGUUUUUCUCCCUUACUCAUUCCUUUUACUUCUCUCGGUCUUACACACACUGACCUGCAAAUUAAAUGCUAUGUUUUACAUGUCAAUGUAAUUGUGUUUUUCAAUUCCUUUUCAUUGACAGCCAUCAAAGUGUUUUCACGAUGAUGAUUUUGGAUUUCAUGCAACAAGAUGGCGUGAUUUAGGAGCUAAAAUAAUAGGUGGCUGUUGCCGGACUACACCUUCCACCAUUCAAAUUAUUUCAAAUGCCUUAAGAGAGAAUUUUUAAUUGUGCUUAUUGAUGUAACUUUUGUUUUCAAACUGCUGAGAUAUUUUCUAGGCAUUUUCCAUAAUUUGAAGUUUUACAUUUUAGUUGCUUUAAGCUUAUUCAUUCAAAUUGAAAGCUAGUAUUUUUCUGCAAGAGUACAUACUAAUACACUAUACUGAAGUCAGUAUGAUUCUUGAUUCGUAUCUUCUUCCACAGUGCGGCGGUGCAACUAAGUAUUUUUAAGGCUAAAUUACAUCUGUGGUCCUUUAACUUAAUUUUAGGUAGCGUUUUAGUCAUUUAUCUUUUUUUUCUCCCGAUUUGGUCCUUUAUUUUAAUUUUAUGUGACAAUUUGAUAUUUUAUGUUUUAAAAUUUCAACAAUAUUACCGUUUUUUAUACAAAAAUUCAAAAAAAAUUUCAAUCAAAACUCAUAAAAUUAAUUAUAUUCUUCAAUAUAAUACAAAUUUCAUCAAAUUCGUAACACAAAUCUUCAAAUAAACUCAUAUUUUCAUACUUUAUUUGAUAUUGUUAGGAAUAAAGGACUAAAUCGGGAAAAAAAAGAAGAUAAAGGACUAAAACGUUACUUAAAAUUAAGUUAAGGGACCACAAAUGUAAUUUAGCCUAUUUUUAAUUAAGACAACAUACCACCAUAUGUUGUAGCAUUAUUUACAUAGAAGUUUUUUGUUGCAUUGCUGCAGAGUGUGAGAGGGUUCGAGUCCUAUGAAUUUUACAUGAGGGAUAGUGUCUUUAGCUGGAGAAAUGUGUUAACUUCUUUUUAUAUAUAAGUUUGAUGGAUCAAGUUGGGUUUCUUUGUAAAAUAAAUUCUUCUAAAUUAUUUAAAAAUAUUGAUUUUUAUAAUAUAUAUAUAUAUAUAUAUAUAUAUAUAUAUAUGUAAUAUUAAUAUAAAAAAUAAUUUUAAAGAUGAGAAAAUAUCAAUUAAGUCUAAUAUAUAUUAACAUGUUAUUCAUUCAAAUAAAAUAACUUUUGAUUAAGUAUAUGCUUCGAUUCGAACACUCACCAUGCCUUCCCACACCAUAGCCAUCAAUGACAACACCAAUGUCAUCGUCCUUCACACUAUGUCAUCAAUCAAAUUCACUGGUUCAAACUUUCCGGCCUGGAAAGUGCAGUUCAAUUUCCUUCUCAUUGGUUAUGAUUUGCUCAACUUCGUCGAUGUGUCCAAACCGUGUCCAGCGCCAACACAUGGUGAUUAUGAAUACUGGACUAGACAAGAUCAACUCAUUCUCCAUGAAAUUCUCUCCUCUAUGGACAUUAAGUCACCAUACUUAGCAAUGCAAAAAACUGUAAACAAGCAUGGGACACACUGAACAAAACCUUUGCAAGCAAAACGCGAACAUGUAUCAUGAAACUCAAAGAACAACUCACGCUUCACCAAAGGCUCAAAACCUGUCGUUGAAUACCUACAUGGUAUUAAGGCACUCUAUGAUGAACUUGCAGUCAUUAACUCACCACUAGAUGAUAUUGAUCUUGUCAUCCACACCCUCAAUGGCCUUGGUCUGGACUUGACAUAAAUUUGUGCUGCUCUUCGUACCCGACAAAAUCCUAUAGGGUUUGAAGAACUUCAUGAUAUCCUUCAAGAUUAUGAAGCUUAUCUUACAUGUGAGGCUAUCGAUCCUCCUAUUCCCUCGGCUCAUGCCACUUACAAAGGCAAACCAAAUGUACCUACCCACCAAAUAGAACCACUCUACCCACACAUACAAACCCAUCACCACAAUCUUCAAGGAACAUAACUUGUCAAUACCGUGACAAGCCAGAUGGAAAAGUUUGCUAUAAACUUCACGGCUACCCUAACAGGUGCCCAUCUGCUCAUAAGUGCGCCCUGCAACCAUCUGUUGUUGGCUCAAAUUGGAUCUUGGACUCAGGGGCCACUCAUCAUAUCACCUACAAUCUCAAUCAGCUUCAUCUCACCCAACCUUAUCAUGGAACUGAUCAUAUUGCAAUAGGAGAUGGUAAUACUGUUCCUAUAGUUCAAACAGGUAAAUAUGUGUUAGCCACAAAAACUCACCAACUGCACCUAGCAGAGGUUCUACAUGUUCCUCAUAUUUAUAAAAAAUGUGUUAUGUGUUUCAACCUUGUGUCAUACUUAGCCCUAUCCCACUGAAUUUUUUUCUGGUUUCUUUUUUUGUGCGUGAAGGAUUUGAAGACAAGGGAUCCUCUCCUCAAGGGUCUACUAAACAUGAACUCUAUCACCUACCCCAUCAAAUCAUUUAUUCCACGGCCUUUGUUACCAUGGCACCACAUCGUUGGGCAUCCUAG
RNAcentral lists this long non-coding RNA (2673 nucleotides) under Cicer arietinum (chickpea). RNAcentral describes it as "long non-coding RNA (CARI_LNC003058)". The record is from RNAcentral. Lineage: Eukaryota; Viridiplantae; Streptophyta; Magnoliopsida; Fabales; Fabaceae.